GCAUCGAACGGUUGGCAUGCAACUCCGUUUCAAGGACACCCCGCUCUUAGACGCGGUGGUGCGUGGCCCCGGUUCCCGUGUUGCCUACCUCUUGAAUGGUAUUCGUGUGGCUUGUUGGAUUCGUCCACCCAGUGCCCCCYCGAGGGGCCCUGGGGGACUUCGAAGUGAUACACAUGCUCCGCCUUCGCUGCCACUCAUUUAUCGAAGCAAGCAAUUGCGGUGCAUAUGUAUCUGCUGCUCUCUCGGACGCGGUGCAUGAGAUGAAACAUGGGAAAUUUUCCCAUUCAGUCCCCCGAAUCUUAGUUGCCUCGAAUGACACUUGCCCUCGUGCUUGCUUGCUCUCCACUCGUGGUUGGCAUGCAAGCAUCGAUGUGCAAAGUUGUUAAUGGAUG
Molecule: unclassified non-coding RNA, 392 nt
Filed under: Lotus weilleri
Lineage: Eukaryota; Viridiplantae; Streptophyta; Magnoliopsida; Fabales; Fabaceae
Description: partial external transcribed spacer
Source: RNAcentral